Apis florea (little honeybee) is the source of this 885-nucleotide long non-coding RNA. The record is from RefSeq and is a predicted model, not a curated record. Lineage: Eukaryota; Metazoa; Arthropoda; Insecta; Hymenoptera; Apidae.
GGCGCGAUAAACAGGGAUUUUCACUCGGCGUCGGUCAAAGUAUACUUAGUCACCGGAGUCGAACGAAAGAGCCGGAUCAUUCAAUUCGCGACAGAGGAGGCGGGAGAGAGAGAGAGAGAGAGAAAGAGAGGAGCCCGUUUCCACGUACCACUCUGUGUGUCCCUACCACUUUCUUUGCCCACCAAGUGGGCAUCGCGUUCUCGUUACCGUGGUCCACGCUGCACUACUGUUCCACUAUCUCCUCAUUCACUUCGCGAUUCGACAGAGGAACACGCGCUUACCUGCCCGACACAUCCUUCUUCGCCUCGAGAAUCGUCUCCACGAAUCGUCUCAUCCUUUCGUUGUCGCGAACAAGCCUUGCCUGUCUCCUUUUCUCUCCAUUUAUUCCGCGAAAGUGAUGGAAACGGGAGCCGAGACUUCGAUCGCCUGCUCUGAUCAUCCUCCCGCGUGAAUCGAGAAAGUGCGAUCGGGAACGAAAAGAAAGAGAGGGAUGUUGGGAUUCGAGUAUAUUCGAUAUUCAAAGAUAUAAAGAAAGAAACUCAUCGUCCAUAGAAGAAUACGAAUGGAAUGGUGGAGAGCUCGAUGACGGGGGCGUGCGAUCGUGGACGAGCAACAACCGGACGGCGGUGAGGUGAUAAGGCCGGUCGCGAGGUGAAAAGUAGGCGAAAAGGAAGAGGAAGCUCAGGGGAGUGGAUAUCGCGGGCGAAGGAGAUCCAGGAUAGUGGCGGAUAGAGCGCGUGUGGCACAUUUACGGAGAGAAAACCUGUCGUCAAUGCUUUUUCUUCCUUCCAUCCGUUCUUACAUAAAGGGGCAUUUUAACCGGCCGACAGUUAAUGAACCCGGCUGUGCGCGCGUUCGUAUAGGGAACAUCCGUCGUUGACUUUA